RNAcentral lists this ribosomal RNA (253 nucleotides) under uncultured bacterium. Its description in RNAcentral is "partial 16S ribosomal RNA". It matches the Rfam family "Bacterial small subunit ribosomal RNA", at positions 524 to 776 of the family's 1533-position model. The record is from RNAcentral.
UACGUAGGGGGCUAGCGUUGUUCGGAAUUACUGGGCGUAAAGGGCGCGUAGGCGGUGUGUCAAGUCAGGCGUGAAAGCCCCGGGCUCAACCUGGGAACCGCGCUUGAGACUGGCGGACUCGAGUUCGGGAGAGGAUGGUGGAAUUCCCAGUGUAGAGGUGAAAUUCGUAGAUAUUGGGAAGAACACCGAUGGCGAAGGCAGCCAUCUGGACCGACACUGACGCUGAGGCGCGAAAGCGUGGGGAGCAAACAGG